AUCUUUCCCUCUCACACAUUGCAAAUCAUGAUCUUCCUUCUUCUCUUAUUUUUUCUCUAUCUCUAUCUCUCACACAUAAACACAGAUCUCUCAUUUAUUUCCAGAUUCAAUCUCAGAUUUCUCAAUCAACCAUAUCAUUCAAACCCUAAGUAUCGAGUUGUAUCACCUGAAAAAACACACACAAAUUCUGGUCGACGGAUAUAGAGAGAGAAAAGAAGAAGAUACAGAGUAGAGACAAAAAGGCCGGAGUUUUAGAGAGAUACCAUGGUGGUGUACGGCGGCAACGACGGCUCGGAUCUGUAUUUCUUGUAAGGGUUGGAUCCGGUUGUCAUUGAGGGUUUGUUAUUUAUGAAGGAAUUGUGACAGGGAUAUGGAUGUGUAGCCACGGUGGUGCACGACGGUUGAAAUAGGAGCGACGGGAUGGGGAUCUGACUUUCGUCACCGGCAACUAUCGCCCACCAGCUCCGGAUCUCCACCGGAAAACCUCCGUUAAGCUGUUGGAGGGUGGAGAACGAGGCCGUAAUUGAGACAAGGUCAAUGAAGAGACCCGAAUGGAAGAUCAAGAAGAAAUAGAGGGUGGCGAGCAAUUGGACUUAAGGAUCGAAGACGACGAAGAGCAAGGGAAUGCAAGACCUGUUGGGUUUUUAUAUUUUUUAUGGUCAUGUAAAUAUUACAACUUUGUAAAAAUUAAAAUGUAAAAAUGAAAAUUUUGAUGGUUGUUAUUUUUUAGAUGAAAGUUGCAUAAAAUAAGAUUAUUAGAAUUUUUUGAUUU
Helianthus annuus (common sunflower) is the source of this 772-nucleotide long non-coding RNA. RefSeq lists it as uncharacterized. Lineage: Eukaryota; Viridiplantae; Streptophyta; Magnoliopsida; Asterales; Asteraceae. The transcript is spliced from 2 exons. The record is from RefSeq and is a predicted model, not a curated record.